UACGGCUCAGUAACACGUCGAUAAUCUGCCCUUGGGUUUGGGAUAGCCUCGGGAAACUGAGGGCAAUACCUAAUAGGGGAAUUCCACUGGAAUGUGUUUUCCUUCAAAGGCAACGCCCAAGGAUGAGUUGGCGGCGGAUUAGCUAGUUGGUGGGGUAAUGGCCCACCAAGGCUAUGAUCCGUAGGGGCCUUGAAAGAGGUAGCCCCGAGAAGGGUACUGAGAUACUGACCCUAGCCCUACGGGGUGCAGCAGGCGCGAAACCUUUACACUACACGAAAGUGUGAUAAGGGGAUCCCAAGUGCCUAUACUUUGUAUAGGCUUUUUUCAAGAGCAAAUAUCUUGGAGAAUAAGUGGUGGGUAAGACCGGUGCCAGCAGCCGCGGUAAU
RNAcentral lists this ribosomal RNA (386 nucleotides) under uncultured archaeon. Its description in RNAcentral is "bacterial SSU rRNA". It matches the Rfam family "Archaeal small subunit ribosomal RNA", at positions 84 to 474 of the family's 1478-position model. The record is from RNAcentral.